Pelodiscus sinensis (Chinese soft-shelled turtle) is the source of this 293-nucleotide non-coding RNA. The record is from RefSeq and is a predicted model, not a curated record. Lineage: Eukaryota; Metazoa; Chordata; Testudines; Trionychidae.
GCAAAACAAAACUGCCUCAGGGAUUUCCUUCAGAAAAUAAUUGGAAAGGGAUUGGAAAAAUGCAAUUUUACUUUUUAUGAAAUCUUGAUUAUGAAACAGCUUUAGAAUUGGAACAUGGUUACCAUCAUCUUGUCAAUCAUCCCUCCCAAAAAACCUUUUUUUUUAAUUUCUACUUCAGUUACUCAAGAUAGAAGGCCUUUGCAGGGAUAAACAUGAAAAAAUAUGUCAAUACUACAUUAUCCUAUGAGGAGGAAAAUCAGAAUAAAAGAAAAUAAAGGCAUGCUAGAUGCCAU